RNAcentral lists this ribosomal RNA (492 nucleotides) under uncultured bacterium. Its description in RNAcentral is "partial 16S ribosomal RNA". It matches the Rfam family "Bacterial small subunit ribosomal RNA", at positions 29 to 507 of the family's 1533-position model. The record is from RNAcentral.
AGUGAACGCUGGCGGUAGGCCUAACACAUGCAAGUCGAACGGCAGCACAGUAAGAGCUUGCUCUUACGGGUGGCGAGUGGCGGACGGGUGAGGAAUACAUCGGAAUCUACUUUUUCGUGGGGGAUAACGUAGGGAAACUUACGCUAAUACCGCAUACGACCUACGGGUGAAAGCAGGGGAUCUUCGGACCUUGCGCGAUUGAAUGAGCCGAUGUCGGAUUAGCUAGUUGGCGGGGUAAAGGCCCACCAAGGCGACGAUCCGUAGCUGGUCUGAGAGGAUGAUCGGCCACACUGGAACUGAGACACGGUCCAGACUCCUACGGGAGGCAGCAGUGGGGAAUAUUGGACAAAGGGCGCAAGCCUGAUCCAGCCAUGCCGCGUGAGUGAAGAAGGCCUUCGGGUUGUAAAGCCCUUUUGUUGGGAAAGAAAAGCAGCAGGUUAAUACCCCGCUGUUCUGACGGUACCCAAAGAAUAAGCACCGGCUAACUUCGUG